Molecule: ribosomal RNA, 253 nt
Filed under: uncultured bacterium
Lineage: Bacteria
Description: partial 16S ribosomal RNA
Rfam family: Bacterial small subunit ribosomal RNA
Source: RNAcentral
UACGUAGGGUGCGAGCGUUAAUCGGAAUUACUGGGCGUAAAGUGUGCGCAGGCGGCAGAGCAAGUCGAGUGUGAAAGCCCCGGGCUUAACUUGGGAAUUGCGCUCGAAACUACUUUGCUGGAGUGUGGCAGAGGAAGGUGGAAUUCCACGUGUAGCGGUGAAAUGCGUAGAGAUGUGGAGGAACACCAAUGGCGAAGGCGACCACCUGGACUGAUACUGACACUGAGGUGCGAAAGCGUGGGGAGCAAACAGG